UACGUAGGGUGCGAGCGUUAAUCGGAAUUACUGGGCGUAAAGCGUGCGCAGGCGGUUCGUUGUGUCGGUGGUGAAAUCCCCGGGCUUAACCUGGGAAUGGCCAUGGAAACUGGCGAACUGGAGUGUGGCAGAGGGGGGUGGAAUUCCGCGUGUAGCAGUGAAAUGCGUAGAGAUGCGGAGGAACACCGAUGGCGAAGGCAGCCCCCUGGGCUAGCACUGACGCUCAGGCACGAAAGCGUGGGGAGCAAACAG
This 252-nucleotide ribosomal RNA is filed under the name uncultured bacterium. Its description in RNAcentral is "partial 16S ribosomal RNA". It matches the Rfam family "Bacterial small subunit ribosomal RNA", at positions 524 to 775 of the family's 1533-position model. The record is from RNAcentral.